Long non-coding RNA from Cotesia glomerata, 626 nucleotides. RefSeq lists it as uncharacterized. The transcript has 3 exons. The record is from RefSeq and is a predicted model, not a curated record. NCBI's taxonomy places the organism in Eukaryota, Metazoa, Arthropoda, Insecta, Hymenoptera, Braconidae.
AUGUCUAAUAAAAGGACAUACUGCCUUGUUUUUUGGAAAAAUUCAAAAACUGCAUCUGUAAUAAAAACAAAUAAUAUUAAAAAUACAAAAAAAAAAAUGGUGUAACAGCAAGGAAGAACAACUUUUCUUCUGACUUAAGAAUAUUGAUGAAAGAUGAUGACAAAGAUUCCUUGAAAAUGGUCGAGGUUGACAAAAAUGGAGAAGUUAUCACCAAAAAAAAAAAAAACUAAUUUGGACAAACCAAACACAAGCAGCAGUUGUAAAAAAAAAUAAUAUUCCCGGUUGUUCAGACAACAAAAAGUAUUUAUAUGAUUUACCAAUAUUUAGUGACGAAAAAAGUGAAGAAGUUUAAAAAAUAUGCAAAAAACUUGAAUUUGAUUGAUACUGGAUCAGAUCAUAGCGGAGAUGCAGUUUCAAAACAAAAAAGUAAAGGAAAAGAAAAUCUGAUAACUCUAAAGAUAGUAUGAGAAAGGCAGCUGGAAGCCGCAGAGAUUAAAAAUUUCGUCGAUUUUAACUCCAAAAAUGUUACUCCACAGGAAGAUGGUAGAAGAAGAAGUACACUUUUUUCUAGUAACAAUUAUUGCAAAAUUUAAUUUAAUUCAAAUUUUUGUAAUAUUUUUGUUCUA